Schizosaccharomyces pombe (fission yeast) is the source of this 442-nucleotide non-coding RNA. The record is from the annotation of a GenBank genome assembly. Lineage: Eukaryota; Fungi; Ascomycota; Schizosaccharomycetes; Schizosaccharomycetales; Schizosaccharomycetaceae.
AAGGACGAGUUACUACUUUUUAGUUAAAGAAUAUUUUAUAUAGAGAAAAGUGAGAGGAAUAGCAGCAGUAUAUAUACGGCUUGGAAGAAAAACGAUAUCAGAGUGUCGGAUUGCAAUGACUCCGACAUUGAUUUCCUCAACAUACAUUGGCUAGAGAUACAAUAAGCAGCAAAGCUUGCCUGGGGAAUUUAACUAUAAAAUUACGUAAAUCAUAGUAGCUGACAUUAUCAAGCGGAGUAACAAAUGACGAAUGGCGGAGUGUUGUUAUUCAAGGGAAGCGAAGAUGAGAGGACGAUUUAGCAUUUAAGAUUAUUCGGUUAAAGAAGAAGAAGUGUGGAUUUCCAUGACAGAGGAGAAGAAUACUCAGAGUGAAAAAAAAAUGUCAAAAAAACCGAGAAAUUUUGAGAGAAACUAACCAAGGAAUGAAAUCCAAGAGGCAACC